Molecule: ribosomal RNA, 468 nt
Filed under: uncultured bacterium
Lineage: Bacteria
Description: partial 16S ribosomal RNA
Rfam family: Bacterial small subunit ribosomal RNA
Source: RNAcentral
GACGAGCGCUGGCGGCGUGCUUAACACAUGCAAGUCGAACGGAAAGGCCCUGCUUUUGUGGGGUGCUCGAGUGGCGAACGGGUGAGUAACACGUGAGUAACCUGCCCUUGACUUUGAGAUAACUUCAGGAAACUGGGGCUAAUACCGGAUAGGAGCUCCUGCUGCAUGGUGGGGGUUGGAAAGUUUCGGCGGUUGGGGAUGGACUCGCGGCUUAUCAGCUUGUUGGUGGGGUAGUGGCUUACCAAGGCUUUGACGGGUAGCCGGCCUGAGAGGGUGACCGGCCACAUUGGGACUGAGAUACGGCCCAAACUCCUACGGGAGGCAGCAGUGGGGAAUAUUGCACAAUGGGCGGAAGCCUGAUGCAGCAACGCCGCGUGCGGGAUGACGGCCUUCGGGUUGUAAACCGCUUUCGCCUGUGACGAAGCGUGAGUGACGGUAAUGGGUAAAGAAGCACCGGCUAACUACGUG